CAGUCGCCGCGGGAAAACGGAGGGUGCAAGUGUUAAUCGGAAUUACUGGGCGUAGAGCGCACGCAGGCGGUUUGUUAAGUCAGAUGUGAAAUCCCCGGGCUCAACCUGGGAACUGCAUCUGAUACUGGCAAACUUGAGUCUCGUAGAGGGGGGUAGAAUUCCAGGUGUAGCAGUGAAAUGCGUAGAGAUGUGGAGGAAUACCGAUGGCGAAGGCAGCCCCCUGGGCCAAUACUGACGCUCAUGCACGAAAGCGUGGGGAGCAAACAGGAUUAGAUACCCCUGUAGUCCCUGUCUCUUAUAC
Molecule: ribosomal RNA, 301 nt
Filed under: uncultured bacterium
Lineage: Bacteria
Description: partial 16S ribosomal RNA
Rfam family: Bacterial small subunit ribosomal RNA
Source: RNAcentral